RNAcentral lists this transfer RNA (17 nucleotides) under Persea americana (avocado). RNAcentral's name for it is "partial tRNA-Cys". The record is from RNAcentral. Lineage: Eukaryota; Viridiplantae; Streptophyta; Magnoliopsida; Laurales; Lauraceae. RNAcentral also lists the same sequence under 3 other names.
UUCUUACCCUACUAAAC